RNAcentral lists this ribosomal RNA (501 nucleotides) under uncultured bacterium. Its description in RNAcentral is "bacterial SSU rRNA". It matches the Rfam family "Bacterial small subunit ribosomal RNA", at positions 28 to 517 of the family's 1533-position model. The record is from RNAcentral.
GAUGAACGCUAGCUACAGGCUUAACACAUGCAAGUCGAGGGGAAACGACAUCGAAAGCUUGCUUUUGAUGGGCGUCGACCGGCGCACGGGUGAGUAACGCGUAUCCAACCUGCCCAUCACUUGGGGAUAACCUUGCGAAAGUAAGACUAAUACCCAAUGAUAUCUCUAGAAGACAUCUGAAGGAGAUUAAAGAUUUAUCGGUGAUGGAUGGGGAUGCGUCUGAUUAGCUUGUUGGCGGGGUAACGGCCCACCAAGGCGACGAUCAGUAGGGGUUCUGAGAGGAAGGUCCCCCACAUUGGAACUGAGACACGGUCCAAACUCCUACGGGAGGCAGCAGUGAGGAAUAUUGGUCAAUGGACGAGAGUCUGAACCAGCCAAGUAGCGUGCAGGAUGACGGCCCUAUGGGUUGUAAACUGCUUUAUAAGGGAAUAAAGUGAGUCUCGUGAGACUUUUUGCAUGUACCUUAUGAAUAAGGACCGGCUAAUUCCGUGCCAGCAGCCG